UAUGAAGUUAUGAUAAGAAUUAGUAGAUAUGGGAAGCUUUCAGAGAGAAAGUGGUAGGUGAAAACUUUCAGUGAAACAUAUUGAAGCUGUCUUGGAGCUAUAAUUAAUUAAGAGAUACUAGUUAAUCUAGUAUAAUUAGGGUGGUAACGCGGAAAACUUUCGUCCCUUUU
RNAcentral lists this non-coding RNA (170 nucleotides) under Clostridium sulfidigenes. Its description in RNAcentral is "T-box sequence". It matches the Rfam family "T-box leader". Rfam says of the family: Uncharged tRNA acts as the effector for transcription antitermination of genes in the T-box leader family. The record is from RNAcentral. Lineage: Bacteria; Bacillati; Bacillota; Clostridia; Eubacteriales; Clostridiaceae.